CAGCAGCCGCGGUAAUACGGAGGGGGCUAGCGUUGUUCGGAAUUACUGGGCGUAAAGCGCACGUAGGCGGCUUGGUAAGUUAGAGGUGAAAGCCCGGAGCUCAACUCCGGAAUUGCCUUUAAGACUGCCGAGCUAGCAGGUGAGAGAGGUAAGUGGAAUUCCGAGUGUAGAGGUGAAAUUCGUAGAUAUUCGGAAGAACACCAGUGGCGAAGGCGGCUUACUGGCUCAUACUGGACGCUGAGGUGCGAAAGCGUGGGGAGCAAACAGGAUUAGAUACCCGCGUAGUCCCUGUCUUUAUACA
RNAcentral lists this ribosomal RNA (301 nucleotides) under uncultured bacterium. RNAcentral describes it as "partial 16S ribosomal RNA". It matches the Rfam family "Bacterial small subunit ribosomal RNA", at positions 509 to 809 of the family's 1533-position model. The record is from RNAcentral.